ACUCCUGCGGGAGGCAGCAGUGGGGAAUUUUGGACAAUGGGCGAAAGCCUGAUCCAGCAAUGCCGCGUGCAGGAUGAAGGCCUUCGGGUUGUAAACUGCUUUUGUACGGAACGAAAAAGCUCCUUCUAAUACAGGGGGCCCAUGACGGUACCGUAAGAAUAAGCACCGGCUAACUACGUGCCAGCAGCCGCGGUAAUACGUAGGGUGCGAGCGUUAAUCGGAAUUACUGGGCGUAAAGCGUGCGCAGGCGGUUAUGUAAGACAGAUGUGAAAUCCCCGGGCUCAACCUGGGAACUGCAUUUGUGACUGCAUGGCUAGAGUACGGUAGAGGGGGAUGGAAUUCCGCGUGUAGCAGUGAAAUGCGUAGAUAUGCGGAGGAACACCGAUGGCGAAGGCAAUCCCCUGGACCUGUACUGACGCUCAUGCACGAAAGCGUGGGGAGCAAACAGGAUUAGAAACCCCUGUAGUCCC
This 470-nucleotide ribosomal RNA is filed under the name uncultured organism. RNAcentral describes it as "partial 16S ribosomal RNA". It matches the Rfam family "Bacterial small subunit ribosomal RNA", at positions 335 to 797 of the family's 1533-position model. The record is from RNAcentral.